Molecule: ribosomal RNA, 271 nt
Filed under: uncultured bacterium
Lineage: Bacteria
Description: partial 16S ribosomal RNA
Rfam family: Bacterial small subunit ribosomal RNA
Source: RNAcentral
GUCCACGCCCUAAACGAUGUCAACUGGUUGUUGGGUCUUCACUGACUCAGUAACGAAGCUAACGCGUGAAGUUGACCGCCUGGGGAGUACGGCCGCAAGGUUGAAACUCAAAGGAAUUGACGGGGACCCGGCACAAGCGGUGGGAUGAUGUGGGUUUUAAAUUUCGAUGCAACGCGAAAACCUUAACCCACCUUUGUACAUGUACGGAAGUUACCAGAGAUGGUUUCGUUGCUCGAAAGAGACCGUAACACAGGUGCUGCAUGGCUGUCGU